GACGAACGCUGGCGGCGUGCUUAACACAUGCAAGUCGAACGGAAAGGCCCUGCUUUUGUGGGGUGCUCGAGUGGCGAACGUGUGAGUAACACGUGAGUAACCUGCCCUUGACUUUGGUAUAACUUCAGGAAACUGGGUCUAAUACCGGAUAGGAGCUCCUGCUGCAUGGUGGGGGUUGGAAAGUUUCGGCGGUUGGGGAUGGACUCGCGGCUUAUCAGCUUGUUGGUGGGGUAGUGGCUUACCAAGGCUUUGACGGGUAGCCGGCCUGAGAGGGUGACCGGCCACAUUGGGACUGAGAUACGGCCCAGACUCCUACGGGAGGCAGCAGUGGGGAAUAUUGCACAAUGGGCGGAAGCCUGAUGCAGCAACGCCGCGUGCGGGAUGACGGCCUUCGGGUUGUAAACCGCUUUCGCCUGUGACGAAGCGUGAGUGACGGUAAUGGGUAAAGAAGCACCGGCUAACUACGUG
Molecule: ribosomal RNA, 468 nt
Filed under: uncultured bacterium
Lineage: Bacteria
Description: partial 16S ribosomal RNA
Rfam family: Bacterial small subunit ribosomal RNA
Source: RNAcentral